GAUGAACGCUGGCGGCGUGCCUAAUACAUGCAAGUCGAGCGGACAGACGAGGAGCUUGCUCCUCUGACGUUAGGCGCGGGGGGGUGAGUAACACGUGGAUAACCUACCUAUAAGACUGGGAUAACUUCGGGACACCGGAGCUAAUACCGGAUAAUAUAUUGAACCGCAUGGUUCAAUGGAGAGAGACGGUUUUUGUGGAACGUAUAGAUGGAUCUGCGCCGCAUUAGCUAGUUGGUAAGGUAACGGGUUAUCAAGGCAACGAUGCGUAGCCGACCUGAUGGGCGGGUAGCCCACACUGGAGCUGAGACGCCGUCCAUAGUCCUACGGGAGGCAGCAGUAGGGUAUCUUCCGCAACGGGCGGGAGCCUGACGGAGCGACGCCGCGUGAGUGAUGAAGGUCUUCGGAUCGUAAUACUCUGCUAUGAGGGAAAAACAAAUGUGUAAGUAACUAUGCACGUCUUGACGGUACCUGGUCAGAAAGCCCCGGCUAACUACGUG
This 497-nucleotide ribosomal RNA is filed under the name uncultured bacterium. RNAcentral describes it as "partial 16S ribosomal RNA". It matches the Rfam family "Bacterial small subunit ribosomal RNA", at positions 28 to 507 of the family's 1533-position model. The record is from RNAcentral.